GCGCGCGUAGGUGGUUAAUUAAGUCAAAUGUGAAAUCCCCGAGCUUAACUUGGGAAUUGCAUUCGAUACUGGUUAGCUAGAGUAUGGGAGAGGAUGGUAGAAUUCCAGGUGUAGCGGUGAAAUGCGUAGAGAUCUGGAGGAAUACCGAUGGCGAAGGCAGCCAUCUGGCCUAAUACUGACACUGAGGUGCGAAAGCAUGGGGAGCAAACAGGAUUAGAUACCCUGGUAGUCCAUGCCGUAAACGAUGUCUACUAGCCGUUGGGGGAUUUGAUCCUUUAGUGGCGCAGCUAACGCGAUAAGUAGACCGCCUGGGGAGUACGGUCGCAAGACUAAAACUCAAAUGAAUUGACGGGGGCCCGCACAAGCGGUGGAGCAUGUGGUUUAAUUCGAUGCAACGCGAAGAACCUUACCUGGCCUUGACAUAGUAGAGACUUUCCAGAGAUGGAUUGGUGCCUUCGGGAAUCUACAUACAGGUGCUGCAUGGCUGUCGUCAGCUCGUGUCGUGAGAUGUUGGGUUAAGUCCCGCAACGAGCGCAACCCUUUUCCUUACUUGCCAGCAUUUCGGAUGGGAACUUUAAGGAUACUGCCAGUGACAAACUGGAGGAAGGCGGGGACGACGUCAAGUCAUCAUGGCCCUUACGGCCAGGGCUACACACGUGCUACAAUGGUCGGUACAAAGGGUUGCUACACAGCGAUGUGAUGCUAAUCUCAAAAAGCCGAUCGUAGUCCGGAUCGCAGUCUGCAACUCGACUGCGUGAAGUCGGAAUCGCUAGUAAUCGCGGAUCAGAAUGCCGCGGUGAAUACGUUCCCGGGCCUUGUACACACCGCCCGUCACACCAUGGGA
RNAcentral lists this ribosomal RNA (844 nucleotides) under Acinetobacter sp. NF257. RNAcentral's name for it is "bacterial SSU rRNA". It matches the Rfam family "Bacterial small subunit ribosomal RNA", at positions 565 to 1409 of the family's 1533-position model. The record is from RNAcentral. Lineage: Bacteria; Pseudomonadati; Pseudomonadota; Gammaproteobacteria; Moraxellales; Moraxellaceae.